CCCUUAGAUGUCCGGGGCCGCACGCGCGCUACACUGAAGGAAUCAGCGUGGCUUUCUCCCUGACCCGAAAGGGUUGGGAAACCCGUUGAAUCUCCUUCGUGAUAGGGAUUGGGGCUUGAAAUUGUUCCCCAUGAACGAGGAAUUCCCAGUAAGCGCGAGUCAUAAGCUCGCGUUGAUUACGUCCCUGCCCUUUGUACACACCGCCCGUCGCUACUACCGAUUGAACGGUUUAGUGAGGGCCUCGGAUUGGUCUCGGCCCGCUCUUUACCGGGCGGCGUCGUUGGUCGGGAAGACGCUCGAACUUGAUCGUUUAGAGGAAGUAAAAGUCGUAACA
Molecule: ribosomal RNA, 334 nt
Filed under: uncultured eukaryote
Lineage: Eukaryota
Description: partial 18S ribosomal RNA
Rfam family: Eukaryotic small subunit ribosomal RNA
Source: RNAcentral